UUGGAGGGCAAGUCUGGUGCCAGCAGCCGCGGUAAUUCCAGCUCCAAUAGCGUAUAUUAAAGUUGUUGCAGUUAAAAAGCUCGUAGUUGAAUUUCGGGAUCAGUACGCUGGUCGUGCCUCCGGUACGUACUGGUGUCACUGAUUCCUCCCUUCUGAAGAACCAUCAUGCUAUUAAUUUAGUGUGGUGGGAAAUCAGGACUGUUACUUUGAAAAAAUUAGAGUGUUUAAAGCAGGCUCACGCUUGAAUACAUUAGCAUGGAAUAAUGAAAUAGGACGUUGAUCCUAUUUUGUUGGUUUCUAGGAUUGACGUAAUGAUUAAUAGGGAUAGUUGGGGGCAUUAGUAUUCAAUUGUCAGAGGUGAAAUUCUUGGAUUUAUUGAAGACUAACUACUGCGAAAGCAUUUGCCAAGGAUGUUUUCAUUAAUCAAGAACGAAAGUUAGGGGAUCGAAGACGAUCAGAUACCGUCGUAGUCUUAACCAUAAACUAUGCCGACUAGGGAUCGGAUGAUGUUAAUUUUUUAAUGACUCAUUCGGCGCCUUACGGGAAAC
RNAcentral lists this ribosomal RNA (548 nucleotides) under uncultured Glomeromycotina. Its description in RNAcentral is "SSU rRNA". It matches the Rfam family "Eukaryotic small subunit ribosomal RNA", at positions 548 to 1098 of the family's 1831-position model. The record is from RNAcentral. Lineage: Eukaryota; Fungi; Glomeromycota.